ACAGGGAAUGGAGCGGCUUUGUCUAGCUUCGUGGGGAGGUAGUGCAUGCAGCAUUUAGAAGACCAUCACAAAGAGCAUAAAGUGAAGAAAAUGACAGUUCCGUGACUGCAAAGGACAAGAACACCAUUAUUUCUGGAGCCCUGAAGACCGCCACCCCUACAGUAACUCCACACCUUCAGUGGAAAAGAGAACUGGACUUCUGAUUUUUUGCAUGGCUCAUUGGUGUAGACCUGAAGAUGAGGAUGGUGAAGAAAAAGUAAAAUAAAAAGCAUUCCUGAAAUCUUACCUGUAAGCAUGAAAUGAAACUCUUCAUAAAAGGAGCACUGCCUUCUAGUAUGGAUUGUUUAGCUGUGUUACGACUAACACCUAUUUCUGAGUGGU
This 381-nucleotide long non-coding RNA is filed under the name Struthio camelus australis. RNAcentral describes it as "lncRNA (ENSSCUG00000013385.1)". Lineage: Eukaryota; Metazoa; Chordata; Aves; Struthioniformes; Struthionidae. The record is from RNAcentral.